UACCUGAGAGCCCUGAGCAUCUCUGGAUUACCUAUGAGGCUCAAAUUAGCUGCAAAUCAAAAGUCUAGCUUGUCCCAGCAGGGUACAGAGCCUUUACAGAGAAUUCAGCUCUACUUCUGUUACUCCAGCAAGCUAAGAACAUUGAGUCAUAAAUGUGACAAAGAACUUGUCCAAAGUUAUGGAAUUAGACACCAAAGCCAGCCUUGCCUUGGCUCUUGAGCCUAGAGCCCUCAGCUUAAUACUAUUGCUCAUGACAAAAAGCUAAGAAAGGGACCCAUGGGAUGGCUCAAUGGUUAGAGCUCUUGCCAGGCAAUCUUGAGGACUUCAGUUUGGAUCUCUAGACACAAUGCUUGACUGCAAGGGUCUCAUAAAGCCCAAAUUUGGCUGCUCUGCAUGUAGCUGAAGGAGAGAGGAGCAGAAAUCCUACAGGGAGAUUUGCACCCCCUACUCCACCUUCCAGAGUUGUGGUCUGAGCACCACACGGCACUCCUUUCAAGCAGGGGCUUCAGGAAACAUCUGAUCCAUCCGAUCCGUUGCCUUUGAUCUUAGGCUUGGCUGAGGUAUGGAAGAAUGGAUUUGAACACCAGCGCCAUGGAAUAUACAGCCAUCUUUCACCUUGGGCUGAGGCG
Molecule: long non-coding RNA, 629 nt
Filed under: Mus caroli (Ryukyu mouse)
Lineage: Eukaryota; Metazoa; Chordata; Mammalia; Rodentia; Muridae
Description: RIKEN cDNA 2810432F15 gene (MGP_CAROLIEiJ_G0003780.1)
Source: RNAcentral